CAGUCGCCACGGGAAUACGUAGGGUGCGAGCGUUAAUCGGAAUUACUGGGCGUAAAGCGUGCGCAGGCGGUUUUGUAAGACAGGCGUGAAAUCCCCGGGCUCAACCUGGGGAUGGCGCUUGUGACUGCAAAGCUAGAGUGCGGUAGAGGGGGAUGGAAUUCCGCGUGUAGCAGUGAAAUGCGUAGAUAUGCGGAGGAACACCGAUGGCGAAGGCAAUCCCCGGGGCCUGCACUGACGCUCAUGCACGAAAGCGUGGGGAGCAAACAGGAUUAGAUACCCCUGUAGUCCCUGUCUCUUAUAC
Molecule: ribosomal RNA, 301 nt
Filed under: uncultured bacterium
Lineage: Bacteria
Description: partial 16S ribosomal RNA
Rfam family: Bacterial small subunit ribosomal RNA
Source: RNAcentral